Cinara cedri is the source of this 236-nucleotide non-coding RNA. The record is from the annotation of a GenBank genome assembly. Lineage: Eukaryota; Metazoa; Arthropoda; Insecta; Hemiptera; Aphididae.
AUUACCGAAAUCAAAAUUGCACUAAAUUGUCAACAUUUUAUUAGAGUGGUAUAUACGUGGUAAUACGUUUAAGCUAUUUGUAGACAUUUUUUCUAGUUUUGUUAAUUUUUAUACGGUAGGUUUUAUAUGGAUUAUUUGACCAAACAAAAACGCUCGACAAUUUUACUUGCAAUUUAUUAAAAGUUGUAUUUGGUGUUCACAAAUGAAAGUUAUGCGUAAUGUAUACGUUUUUUUAU